AGUUAGCGGCGGACGGGUGAGUAACACGUGGGUAACCUGCCCAUAAGACUGGGAUAACUCCGGGAAACCGGGGCUAAUACCGGAUAACAUUUUGAACUGCAUGGUUCGAAAUUGAAAGGCGGCUUCGGCUGUCACUUAUGGAUGGACCCGCGUCGCAUUAGCUAGUUGGUGAGGUAACGGCUCACCAAGGCAACGAUGCGUAGCCGACCUGAGAGGGUGAUCGGCCACACUGGGACUGAGACACGGCCCAGACUCCUACGGGAGGCAGCAGUAGGGAAUCUUCCGCAAUGGACGAAAGUCUGACGGAGCAACGCCGCGUGAGUGAUGAAGGCUUUCGGGUCGUAAAACUCUGUUGUUAGGGAAGAACAAGUGCUAGUUGAAUAAGCUGGCACCUUGACGGUACCUAACCAGAAAGCCACGGCUAACUACGUGCCAGCAGCCGCGGUAAUACGUAGGUGGCAAGCGUUAUCCGGAAUUAUUGGGCGUAAAGCGCGCGCAGGUGGUUUCUUAAGUCUGAUGUGAAAGCCCACGGCUCAACCGUGGAGGGUCAUUGGAAACUGGGAGACUUGAGUGCAGAAGAGGAAAGUGGAAUUCCAUGUGUAGCGGUGAAAUGCGUAGAGAUAUGGAGGAACACCAGUGGCGAAGGCGACUUUCUGGUCUGUAACUGACACUGAGGCGCGAAAGCGUGGGGGAGCAAACAGGAUUAGAUACCCUGGUAGUCCACGCCGUAAACGAUGAGUG
RNAcentral lists this ribosomal RNA (741 nucleotides) under Bacillus sp. TGR27. Its description in RNAcentral is "bacterial SSU rRNA". It matches the Rfam family "Bacterial small subunit ribosomal RNA", at positions 90 to 815 of the family's 1533-position model. The record is from RNAcentral. Lineage: Bacteria; Bacillati; Bacillota; Bacilli; Caryophanales; Bacillaceae.